This 549-nucleotide ribosomal RNA is filed under the name Trichoderma harzianum. RNAcentral's name for it is "eukaryotic LSU rRNA". The stretch from base 176 to 329 matches the Rfam family "5.8S ribosomal RNA". The record is from RNAcentral. Lineage: Eukaryota; Fungi; Ascomycota; Sordariomycetes; Hypocreales; Hypocreaceae.
UGUGAACGUUACCAAACUGUUGCCUCGGCGGGAUCUCUGCCCCGGGUGCGUCGCAGCCCCGGACCAAGGCGCCCGCCGGAGGACCAACCAAAACUCUUUUUGUAUACCCCCUCGCGGGUUUUUUAUAAUCUGAGCCUUCUCGGCGCCUCUCGUAGGCGUUUCGAAAAUGAAUCAAAACUUUCAACAACGGAUCUCUUGGUUCUGGCAUCGAUGAAGAACGCAGCGAAAUGCGAUAAGUAAUGUGAAUUGCAGAAUUCAGUGAAUCAUCGAAUCUUUGAACGCACAUUGCGCCCGCCAGUAUUCUGGCGGGCAUGCCUGUCCGAGCGUCAUUUCAACCCUCGAACCCCUCCGGGGGGUCGGCGUUGGGGAUCGGCCCUCCCUUAGCGGGUGGCCGUCUCCGAAAUACAGUGGCGGUCUCGCCGCAGCCUCUCCUGCGCAGUAGUUUGCACACUCGCAUCGGGAGCGCGGCGCGUCCACAGCCGUUAAACACCCAACUUCUGAAAUGUUGACCUCGGAUCAGGUAGGAAUACCCGCUGAACUUAAGCAUAU